Molecule: ribosomal RNA, 468 nt
Filed under: uncultured bacterium
Lineage: Bacteria
Description: partial 16S ribosomal RNA
Rfam family: Bacterial small subunit ribosomal RNA
Source: RNAcentral
GACGAACGCUGGCGGCGUGCUUAACACAUGCAAGUCGAACGGAAAGGCCCUGCUUUUGUGGGGUGCUCGAGUGGCGAACGGGUGAGUAACACGUGAGUAACCUGCCCUUGACUUUGGGAUAACUUCAGGAAACUGGGGCUAAUACCGGAUAGGAGCUCCUGCUGCAUGGUGGGGGUUGGAAAGUUUCGGCGGUUGGGGAUGGACUCGCGGCUUAUCAGCUUGUUGGUGGGGUAGUGGCUUACCAAGGCUUUGACGGGUAGCCCGCCUGAGAGGGUGACCGGCCACAUUGGGAAUCAGAUACGGCCCAGACCCCUACGGGAGGCAGCAGUGGGGAAUAAUGCACAAGGGGCGGAAGCCUGAAUCAGCAACGCCGCGUGCGGGAUGACGGCCUUCGGGCUGUAAACCGCUUUCGCCUGUGACGAAGCGUGAGUGACGGUAAUGGGUAAAGAAGCACCGGCUAACUACGUG